AAAACACACUUCCCGGGAUUGCUUCGACUCCACUCACUCAUACUGUAGUCUCUCUCUCUCUGCUUAGCUCUCCCACCAUAACCUAACUUUAAUCCAAAUCCAACUGCACCAUUACUAUAACAGAAAUACUCUACCGACCCCCACCCCCAAUUACUUCCAUUCCAUAUACUGCCCAAAAUCCACCAGCAAUUUACUCUCUUUCACGAUUAUCACUUGAAGUCCUGUCUCUGUGUGUGUGUGUGUGUGUGUGUGUGUGUGUGAGAGAGAGAGAGAGAGAGAGAGAGAGAGAGAGAGAGAGAGAGAUGGAAUUGGAGCAGCUCCAAAUGGACAAAGGGGCAUCGACGACCUUCGACGAGUUGUCCAUGGAACGUAGCAAGAAUUUCGUCAAAGCCUUGCAGGAACUCAAGAAUUUGAGGCCUCAACUUUAUUCCGCUGCAGAAUACUGCGAGAAAUCUUAUCUGCACAGUGAUCAGAAACAGAUGGUCCUUGACAACCUGAAGGAUUAUGCCGUGAGAACCCUCGUGAAUGCUGUUGACCACCUUGGCACUGUGGCUUACAAAUUAACUGAUCUACUUGACCAACAAUCCAUAGAUGUCUCAACUAUGGAGCUCAAGGUGUUAUGUCUAAAUCAGCAACUACUAACAUGCCAAACAUACACGGAUAAAGAAGGUCUCCGGCAGCAGCAGUUGUUAGCAUUGAUCCCAAGGCAUCAUAAGCAUUACAUUUUGCCAAAUUCUGUGAACAAGAAGGUACAUUUUAGCCCACACAUACAGACAGAUGCUAGGCAAAGUCAUAUUCAAACAAGACCUCGACUUUACCCUUCGGGCUCUCCUGCAAAUACUCUGUCUUGGCAUUUAGAAUCAGAAACUACCUUAAAAGCAGCCCCAUGUGGUCUGACAAGCAGUGAAGAUGAAAAAACUUCCGGAAAAACUUAUGGGGUCUUCCACUUAGUGGAUGCUAAAGAAAGUACUCUAAUGAAAUCCCCAGCUGCUCAUCUCAAGUGGUCCGGUGGAGGUCACGCUUCAAGUACAGCACGGAUGGACUCUGUAGAGGGUUCCAGACCUUUGACGCCUUUCAGGUCACAUGUCAACCCAAGCCGGAGAGAGAUUGUCCAGGCACCCGUCCGCAGCAAGAGCCUGCUCUCAUCUUUCUUUGUGAAACAUAAGACUACCAAACACAAGACUUUCUCAUGAAUCCGCACUCAAGCAAGUCAAGUAUGGUUGUUAUAACAAACAGAUGAUCAUUAACUCCUCACGAAUCGUUGUCUACUAUCCUUUCAUUCUCCCCUUAAUAACAAGCAGAUGAUCAUUAUAGUCUUGUAGUGAUUGGCUCGGACUAGUGUAAGGUGCGAGUUUUCAACUUACGAAAGUACUCUGUCUUGUGGUUUAGUAGUGUUCUAUGUAUGUAUAGUCAAUUAGCUGGCUGUCCUAUUCUGAAUAAUUUUCCACGUUAAUGGUGCGAAUAAGAGCCAGGCCGCUGAAAAAUGCUGUUACAGCCCAUCAAUCAAUCAUUAAGCUCUAUCCUCGUACAACAUUGCAUUCAUGCAUGUUGGGAUUGGAACUAACUAAAAUGCCGAAACGACCUCCAUCAAGUUUUUUUUUUCUUGAUCUGCACCUCCAUCAUUUUAGAACCAAAAGAUUUACAAGAAACUUGACCACCAAAGAGAACAUCCUCCGAAAAUGAUUCUCAAAGGACGAAGAUUACUCUGCAUAUGUUCUUUUAAGCAGUACCAAUGUGUUCCUUGUGAGGUGAAAUAACGGCUGUGAUUGCACCAAACUACAUCAGGAGGGUUUUGCAAUUUUGAUGCUUUUGGACUCCAAUUACGGGGUCAUGAUAGAUAAAGUGAGAGGGCAGUACUGCAGUGGGGUCGAAGAGAAGUUCCCAGAAAGUUAAAUAGAGCUCCAGGUUGCAUAACAAUGACUGAGAUUUGGCUACACAUAUCCAUUUGUGGCCGGCUCCGGCUGUGAUGCCCCAGGGCGGUAUUGGGGCAUCAUGCCCCCGUUUUUCUUGAAGCGUUGGAUAUUCCUUAUUCAAUCUCAAUCAUUCAUUACGCCCCCCCUCUCUCUCUCCUAUAUACCGGUUGAAAAGAGCAUUCGAAAGCCCUCAAUUUUUUGGCAACCUCUCUCUCUAUCUUCUCCCGCCUCACCACUGCGCCUCUGCCACGGCAAACGGCGACAUUCGCCACGAAGGCCCCGCUGGCGAACACAACAUCCUCUACCGACGACCCGCCCUCCGAUCUGGAAUUCCGAUCGUCACUCGACGAUGCGUGGUACACCGCUCGGGUGGUGCUCGAAGAAAGUACCAACACGCUCGUCGUGGAGUUCGACAACUUCUACGAUUGGAAUGACAAGAGGUUCUCCGCCACGGGCUUUCCAAGCGCCAAGGCCGUGGACAAGUUCCUCGGGAGAGUGCGGCCGCUGUCGCAGCAGUUGCAAGAUGACCAGUGCUCCAGGGUCUUUGAAGGGAUGACUGUCUGUGCGUUGUUCAAGUUUGAAAAUGAUGAGACGCCGUUGUUGAAGCGGUGAGUGAAUUGCUCCUUUAGCGGAGUAUCCCGUGGUUCUGCUUUGGGUUAUGGACUAUCAAGAUCAACGUUGAAUUUUUAUUGUGGAUUCUCCGUGCUGCAAGUUGAACUUUUUGUUUGGUUAUCCAUUUGUUUGGAUACAAUUUGUUGUCCAUUUCUUUGUAUACCGUGCUUCGAUUUUUGGUUUUUCCCCUUGGCCUUGUUGUGUUUAAAGCCGCUAAUUGUGAAAUCGGCUUGCGAAUAUUGGAUGUCUUAUCACAAAUACUGAAUGUACUUACCACGAAUAAUGGAUGCACUUACUUAAAA
Rhododendron vialii is the source of this 2827-nucleotide RNA transcript. It is a transcript of the gene named protein ABIL1-like, with no coding region annotated. The record is from RefSeq and is a predicted model, not a curated record. The transcript has 10 exons. Lineage: Eukaryota; Viridiplantae; Streptophyta; Magnoliopsida; Ericales; Ericaceae.